GAUUCCCCUAGUAACGGCGAGUGAAGCGGGAAGAGCUCAAAUUUGAAAUCUAGUAGCCUUCGGCUGCUCGAGUUGUAAUCUAGAGAAGUGUUUUCCGUGCCGGCCCAUGUACAAGUCCCUUGGAACAGGGCGUCAUAGAGGGUGAGAAUCCCGUCCUUGACAUGGACCCCCGGUGCUCUGUGAUACACUUUCAACGAGUCGAGUUGUUUGGGAAUGCAGCUCAAAAUGGGUGGUGAAUUCCAUCUAAAGCUAAAUAUUGGCGAGAGACCGAUAGCGAACAAGUACCGUGAGGGAAAGAUGAAAAGCACUUUGGAAAGAGAGUUAAACAGUACGUGAAAUUGUUGAAAGGGAAACGAUUGAAGUCAGUCAUGCUCUUUGGUAUUUAUAUCAUUGAGUGGGGUCAACAUCAGUUUUGAGCGAUGGAUAAAGGCACUAGGAAGGUAGCACUCUCGGGUGAACUUAUAGCCUAGCGUCAUAUACAUUGUUUGGGACUGAGGAACGCAGCAUGCCUUUAUGGCCGGGAUUCGUCCACGUACAUGCUUAGGAUGUUGACAUAAUGGCUUUAAACGACCCGUCUUGAAACACGGAC
RNAcentral lists this ribosomal RNA (589 nucleotides) under Naganishia diffluens. Its description in RNAcentral is "partial large subunit ribosomal RNA". It matches the Rfam family "Eukaryotic large subunit ribosomal RNA", at positions 73 to 666 of the family's 3401-position model. Lineage: Eukaryota; Fungi; Basidiomycota; Tremellomycetes; Filobasidiales; Filobasidiaceae. The record is from RNAcentral.